RNAcentral lists this ribosomal RNA (478 nucleotides) under uncultured bacterium. RNAcentral's name for it is "partial 16S ribosomal RNA". It matches the Rfam family "Bacterial small subunit ribosomal RNA", at positions 28 to 523 of the family's 1533-position model. The record is from RNAcentral.
GACGAACGCUGGCGGCGUGCUUAACACAUGCAAGUCGAACGGUAAGGCCCUUCGGGGUACACGAGUGGCGAACGGGUGAGUAAUACGUGGGUGAUCUGCCCUGCACUUCGGGAUAAGCCUGGGAAACUGGGUCUAAUACCGGAUAGGACCACUGCCUGCAUGGGUGGUGGUGGAAAGCUUUUGCGGUGUGGGAUGGGCCCGCGGCCUAUCAGCUUAUUGGUGGGGUGAUGGCCUACCAAGGCGACGACGGGUAGCCGGCCUGAGAGGGUGACCGGCCACACUGGGACUGAGAUACGGCCCAGACUCCUACGGGAGGCAGCAGUGGGGAAUAUUGCACAAUGGGCGCAAGCCUGAUGCAGCGACGCCGCGUGAGGGAUGACGGCCUUCGGGUUGUAAACCUCUUUCAGCACCGACGAAGCGCAAGUGACGGUAGGUGCAGAAGAAGGACCGGCCAACUACGUGCCAGCAGCCGCAGUAA